RNAcentral lists this ribosomal RNA (589 nucleotides) under Staphylococcus warneri. RNAcentral's name for it is "bacterial SSU rRNA". It matches the Rfam family "Bacterial small subunit ribosomal RNA", at positions 173 to 754 of the family's 1533-position model. Lineage: Bacteria; Bacillati; Bacillota; Bacilli; Caryophanales; Staphylococcaceae. The record is from RNAcentral.
AUAUUGAACCGCAUGGUUCAAUAGUGAAAGGCGGCUUUGCUGUCACUUAUAGAUGGAUCCGCGCCGUAUUAGCUAGUUGGUAAGGUAACGGCUUACCAAGGCAACGAUACGUAGCCGACCUGAGAGGGUGAUCGGCCACACUGGAACUGAGACACGGUCCAGACUCCUACGGGAGGCAGCAGUAGGGAAUCUUCCGCAAUGGGCGAAAGCCUGACGGAGCAACGCCGCGUGAGUGAUGAAGGUCUUCGGAUCGUAAAACUCUGUUAUCAGGGAAGAACAAAUGUGUAAGUAACUGUGCACAUCUUGACGGUACCUGAUCAGAAAGCCACGGCUAACUACGUGCCAGCAGCCGCGGUAAUACGUAGGUGGCAAGCGUUAUCCGGAAUUAUUGGGCGUAAAGCGCGCGUAGGCGGUUUUUUAAGUCUGAUGUGAAAGCCCACGGCUCAACCGUGGAGGGUCAUUGGAAACUGGAAAACUUGAGUGCAGAAGAGGAAAGUGGAAUUCCAUGUGUAGCGGUGAAAUGCGCAGAGAUAUGGAGGAACACCAGUGGCGAAGGCGACUUUCUGGUCUGUAACUGACGCUGAUGUGC